GAUGAAGAACGUAGCGAAAUGCGAUAAGUAAUGUGAAUUGCAGAAUUCAGUGAAUCAUCGAAUCUUUGAACGCACCUUGCGCCUUUUGGUAUUCCGAAAGGCACACCUGUUUGAGCGUCAUGAAUACCUCAAUCUCCAUCUUUUCUUCGGAUUGAUGGGUGACUUGGAUGUUGAGCCCUGCUGGUAUGCUAUAUCAGCUGGCUUUAAACUUAUUAGCCGGCUCUGUACUGGAUCGGUUUGACUCGACGUGAUAAUAUUAUCGUUGAGGAUGCAAGUCUCAUGCAGCCGGAAAGUAUCAAAGCAGCUUCUAGCUUGCCUUUAGUGCACUUUUACAUUUUAGACCUCAGAUCAGGUGGGACUACCCGCUGAACUUAAGCAUAUCAAUAAGCGGAGGA
Molecule: unclassified non-coding RNA, 395 nt
Filed under: soil metagenome
Description: partial contains 5.8S ribosomal RNA, internal transcribed spacer 2, and large subunit ribosomal RNA
Rfam family: 5.8S ribosomal RNA (bases 1-120)
Source: RNAcentral